AGCGUUGUCCGGAAUAUUGGGCGUAAAGAGCUCGUAGGCGGCUUGUCACGUCGGUUGUGAAAGCCCGGGGCUUAACCCCGGGUCUGCAGUCGAUACGGGCAGGCUAGAGUUCGGUAGGGGAGAUCGGAAUUCCUGGUGUAGCGGUGAAAUGCGCAGAUAUCAGGAGGAACACCGUUGGCGAAGGCGGAUCUCUGGGCCGAUACUGACGCUGAGGAGCGAAAGCGUGGGGAGCGAACAGGAUUAGAUACCCUGGUAGUCCACGCCGUAAACGGUGGGCACUAGGUGUGGGCAACAUUCCACGUUGUCCGUGCCGCAGCUAACGCAUUAAGUGCCCCGCCUGGGGAGUACGGCCGCAAGGCUAAAACUCAAAUGAAUUGACGGGGGCCCGCACAAGCGGCGGAGCAUGUGGCUUAAUUCGACGCAACGCGAAGAACCUUACCAAGGCUUGACAUACACCGGAAACGUCUGGAGACAGGCGCCCCCUUGUGGUCGGUGUACAGGUGGUGCAUGGCUGUCGUCAGCUCGUGUCGUGAGAUGUUGGGUUAAGUCCCGCAACGAGCGCAACCCUUGUCCCGUGUUGCCAGCAGGCCCUUGUGGUGCUGGGGACUCACGGGAGACCGCCGGGGUCAACUCGGAGGAAGGUGGGGACGACGUCAAGUCAUCAUGCCCCUUAUGUCUUGGGCUGCACACGUGCUACAAUGGCCGGUACAAUGAGCUGCGAUACCGUGAGGUGGAGCGAAUCUCAAAAAGCCGGUCUCAGUUCGGAUUGGGGUCUGCAACUCGACCCCAUGAAGUCGGAGUCGCUAGUAAUCGCAGAUCAGCAUUGCUGCG
This 831-nucleotide ribosomal RNA is filed under the name Streptomyces sp. T138. RNAcentral describes it as "bacterial SSU rRNA". It matches the Rfam family "Bacterial small subunit ribosomal RNA", at positions 537 to 1361 of the family's 1533-position model. The record is from RNAcentral. Lineage: Bacteria; Bacillati; Actinomycetota; Actinomycetes; Kitasatosporales; Streptomycetaceae.